GACGAAGGUGACGACCGUUGCUCGGAAUCACUGGGCGUAAAGCGCACGUAGGCGGAUUGUUAAGUCAGGGGUGAAAUCCUGGAGCUCAACUCCAGAACUGCCUUUGAUACUGGCGAUCUCGAGUCCGGGAGAGGUGAGUGGAACUGCGAGUGUAGAGGUGAAAUUCGUAGAUAUUCGCAAGAACACCAGUGGCGAAGGCGGCUCACUGGCCCGGUACUGACGCUGAGGUGCGAAAGCGUGGGGAGCAAACAGG
Molecule: ribosomal RNA, 253 nt
Filed under: uncultured bacterium
Lineage: Bacteria
Description: partial 16S ribosomal RNA
Rfam family: Bacterial small subunit ribosomal RNA
Source: RNAcentral